Molecule: ribosomal RNA, 542 nt
Filed under: uncultured archaeon
Lineage: Archaea
Description: bacterial SSU rRNA
Rfam family: Archaeal small subunit ribosomal RNA
Source: RNAcentral
CGGGGUGCACCAGGCGCGAAAACUUUACAAUGCGGGAAACCGUGAUAAGGGGACACCGAGUGCCAGCAUCAUAUGCUGGCUGUCCAGGUGCGUAAAAUACACCUGUUAGCAAGGGCCGGGCAAGACCGGUGCCAGCCGCCGCGGUAACACCGGCGGCCCGAGUGGUGAUCGUGAUUAUUGGGUCUAAAGGGUCCGUAGCCGGUUUGGUCAGUCCUCCGGGAAAUCUGACGGCUCAACCGUUAGGCUUUCGGGGGAUACUGCCAGGCUUGGAACCGGGAGAGGUAAGAGGUACUACAGGGGUAGGAGUGAAAUCUUGUAAUCCCUGUGAGACCACCUGUGGCGAAGGCGUCUUACCAGAACGGGUUCGACGGUGAGGGACGAAAGCUGGGGGCACGAACCGGAUUAGAUACCCGGGUAGCCCCAGCCGUAAACGAUGCUCGCUAGGUGUCAGGCAUGGCGCGACCGUGUCUGGUGCCGCAGGGAAGCCGUGAAGCGAGCCACCUGGGAAGUACGGCCGCAAGGCUGAAACUUAAAGGAAUUGG